This 253-nucleotide ribosomal RNA is filed under the name uncultured bacterium. RNAcentral's name for it is "partial 16S ribosomal RNA". It matches the Rfam family "Bacterial small subunit ribosomal RNA", at positions 524 to 776 of the family's 1533-position model. The record is from RNAcentral.
UACAUGUGGGGCAAGCGUUGUUCGGAAUUACUGGGCAUAAAGGGUGCGUAGGCGGUUUGUUAAGUCAGGGGUGAAAGUUUUCGGCCCAACCGGAAAAUGGCCUUUGAUACUGGCGAACUCGAGUGCGUGAGGGGUAACCGGAACGAGUGGUGUAGCGGUGAAAUGCGUAGAUAUCACUCGGAAGGCCAAAGGCGAAGGCAGGUUACUGGUACGCAACUGACGCUGAGGCACGAAAGCGUGGGGAGCGAACAGG